CGCAAUGGGCGAAAGCCUGACGGAGCAAUACCGCGUGAGGGACGAAGGUCUGUGGAUUGUAAACCUCUUUUGUUGGGGAAGAUAAUGACGGUACCCAACGAAUAAGCAUCGGCUAACUCCGUGCCAGCAGCCGCGGUAAGACGGAGGAUGCAAGCGUUAUCCGGAAUUAUUGGGCGUAAAGCGUACGUAGGCUGUUAGAUAAGUCUGUUGUCAAAGCGCGAGGCUUAACCUUGUAAAGGCAAUGGAAACUGUUUGACUAGAGAGAGAAAGGGGCAGGAGGAAUUCCAGGUGUAGCGGUGAAAUGCGUAGAUAUCUGGAAUAAAUACCACUC
This 331-nucleotide ribosomal RNA is filed under the name uncultured organism. RNAcentral describes it as "bacterial SSU rRNA". It matches the Rfam family "Bacterial small subunit ribosomal RNA", at positions 367 to 714 of the family's 1533-position model. The record is from RNAcentral.